GAUGAACGCUGGCGGCGUGCCUAAUACAUGCAAGUCGAGCGAACAGACGAGGAGCUUGCUCCUCUGACGUUUGCGGCGGACGGGUGAGUAACACGUGGAUAACCUACCUAUAAGACUGGGAUAACUUCGGGAAACCGGAGCUAAUACCGGAUAAUAUAUUGAACCGCAUGGUUCAAUAGUGAAAGACGGCUUUGCUGUCACUUAUAGAUGGAUCCGCGCCGCAUUAGCUAGUUGGUAGGGUAACGGCUUAUCAAGGCAACGAUGCGUAGCCGACCUGAGAGGGGGAUCGGCCACACUGGAACUGAGACACGGUCCAGACUCCUACGGUAGGCAGCAGUAGGGAAUCGUCCGCAAUGGGCGAAAGCCUGACGGAGCAGCGCCGCGUGAGUGAUGAAGGUCUUCGGAUCGUAAAACCCUGUUAUUAGGGAAGAACAAAUGUGUAAGUAACUAUGCACGUCUUGACGGUACCUAAUCAGAAAGCAACGGCUAACUACGUG
Molecule: ribosomal RNA, 497 nt
Filed under: uncultured bacterium
Lineage: Bacteria
Description: partial 16S ribosomal RNA
Rfam family: Bacterial small subunit ribosomal RNA
Source: RNAcentral